RNAcentral lists this ribosomal RNA (301 nucleotides) under uncultured bacterium. RNAcentral describes it as "partial 16S ribosomal RNA". It matches the Rfam family "Bacterial small subunit ribosomal RNA", at positions 509 to 809 of the family's 1533-position model. The record is from RNAcentral.
CAGUAGCCGCGGGAAUACGAAGGGUGCAAGCGUUAAUCGGAAUUACUGGGCGUAAAGCGUGCGUAGGCGGUUUGUUAAGUCUGUUGUGAAAUCCCCGGGCUCAACCUGGGACCUGCAUUUGUGACUGUAUAGCUAGAGUACGGUAGAGGGGGAUGGAAUUCCGCGUGUAGCAGUGAAAUGCGUAGAUAUGCGGAGGAACACCGAUGGCGAAGGCAAUCCCCUGGACCUGUACUGACGCUCAUGCACGAAAGCGUGGGGAGCAAACAGGAUUAGAUACCCCUGUAGUCCCUGUCUCUUAUAA